GAUGAACGCUAGCGAUAGGCCUAACACAUGCAAGUCGAGGGGCAUCACAUGAGGCAGCAAUGCCGAUGGUGGCGACCGGCGCACGGGUGAGUAACACGUAUGCAACCUGCCUUCAACAAGGGGAUAACCCGUUGAAAAACGGACUAAUACCCUAUAAUACAGGGGUCCCGCAUGGGGAUAUUUGUUAAAGAUUGAUCGGUUGAAGAUGGGCAUGCGUUCCAUUAGCUGGUUGGUGAGGUAACGGCUCACCAAGGCAACGAUGGAUAGGGGAACUGAGAGGUUUAUCCCCCACACUGGUACUGAGACACGGACCAGACUCCUACGGGAGGCAGCAGUGAGGAAUAUUGGUCAAUGGGCGAGAGCCUGAACCAGCAAGUCGCGUGCAGGAAGAAUGUCCUAUGGAUUGUAAACUGCUUUUGCAGGGGAAUAAAUGAGCCACGUGUGGUUUUUGUAUGUACUCUGCGAAU
This 467-nucleotide ribosomal RNA is filed under the name uncultured bacterium. Its description in RNAcentral is "bacterial SSU rRNA". It matches the Rfam family "Bacterial small subunit ribosomal RNA", at positions 28 to 487 of the family's 1533-position model. The record is from RNAcentral.